Molecule: ribosomal RNA, 616 nt
Filed under: uncultured soil bacterium
Lineage: Bacteria
Description: bacterial SSU rRNA
Rfam family: Bacterial small subunit ribosomal RNA
Source: RNAcentral
AUGCAAGUCGAACGGACUUGUGGGGCUUGCUCCACAAGUUAGUGGCAGACGGGUGAGUAACGCGUGGGAAUGUACCUUUUGGUUCGGAAUAACUUCGGGAAACUGAAGCUAAUACCGGAUAAGCCCGUGAGGGGAAAGAUUUAUCGCCGAAAGAGCAGCCCGCGUUAGAUUAGGUAGUUGGUGGGGUAAAGGCCUACCAAGCCUACGAUCUAUAGCUGGUCUGAGAGGAUGAUCAGCCACACUGGGACUGAGACACGGCCCAGACUCCUACGGGAGGCAGCAGUGGGGAAUAUUGGACAAUGGGGGAAACCCUGAUCCAGCAAUGCCGCGUGAGUGAUGAAGGCCUUCGGGUUGUAAAGCUCUUUUGUCAGGGACGAUGAUGACGGUACCUGACGAAUAAGCUCCGGCUAACUUCGUGCCAGCAGCCGCGGUAAUACGAGGGGAGCUAGCGUUGUUCGGAAUUACUGGGCGUAAAGGGCGUGUAGGCGGUACCAUAAGUCAGAUGUGAAAGCCCUAGGCUUAACCUAGGAGGUGCAUUUGAUACUGUGGAACUAGAGAUCGAGAGAGGUAAGUGGAAUUACGAGUGUAGAGGUGAAAUUCGUAGAUAUUCGUAAGA